AGUUGUCAUGGAGUAGUACUGUA
This 23-nucleotide microRNA is filed under the name Tribolium castaneum (red flour beetle). RNAcentral describes it as "tca-miR-11617b-5p". The record is from miRBase by way of RNAcentral. Lineage: Eukaryota; Metazoa; Arthropoda; Insecta; Coleoptera; Tenebrionidae.